RNAcentral lists this ribosomal RNA (207 nucleotides) under uncultured bacterium. Its description in RNAcentral is "partial 16S ribosomal RNA". It matches the Rfam family "Bacterial small subunit ribosomal RNA", at positions 568 to 774 of the family's 1533-position model. The record is from RNAcentral.
UGUGUAGGCGGUUGGCCAAGUCUGGUGUGAAAUCUCCCGGCUCAACUGGGAGGGUGCGCCGGAAACUGGCUGGCUGGAGUGCGGUAGAGGAGAGUGGAAUUCCCGGUGUAGUGGUGAAAUGCGUAGAUAUCGGGAGGAACACCUGUGGUGCAGACGGCUCUCUGGACCGUAACUGACGCUGAGACACGAAAGCGUGGGUAGCAAACA